AGAGUCUGUAAUAUAUUUCUCCAUGGAUUCGCGCUCAGGACGGGAGAGAUUAUAUAGCCGGCUCGUAGGUAGUGGGGCUCCCGGAAGCAAGUCAAUAGCACAAUCGUAAGGGCGAUGAGGAGGAAGUGAAACCGCCCGCUCCACGCUAAAUACCUCUGCUAGGUCCCUGUAUUCCUUGGGCACCGCCGAGAGGCUAGGGCCAGUGUCAGGUCUGCCUGAGGGAAGAACCUGAUGGGGAACUGCAGACCGGAGGCAGCGGGAGUGGCAAGUGGAACUCCAGCCUGUGAUCCUGCUCCUCGCCCAAUCAAUCUGUGGAUUAUGAUCCCUGAGCCAGGGGAGGCCCAGGACCAGCGGUAUUUGGGGGGAAGAGAAAACAUAGAACUGUGUCUCCUGACGAUGAUUCCCAGACACGAUUAGAGAGAUGGGUAGAGUCCGGUGUGUUAUCUCAGCCAGAGAACUGCCAUCCAGUGCCCUCACCAGCUGAGCUCGUUCUAAUGCCUCCACUGGGAUGCCUCUCUGCUUAAUAAAAGUUGUGUCCAAAAAGUUCUGUUCAGCCCCGGAGUCAAUAAGUGCGGGCAGGUGCACCGGACCAGAUGAAAGAUACAGGGUGACAGGAAACACAGAUUGAGGCUUGGCAUGAGGGACUCUCUCUGAAACGCUCGCCAGCACCCCCACUCUUACCGGCGAGCUCUCUCUUUUGGCCGAACAGGGCAGACGGCCAUACGAUGUCCUAACUGCCCACAGUAAAGGCAGCCUCCGGAGCGAAAACGCCGCUCUCUCUCCUCUGGGGAGAGAUGGGCCUGGCCCAGCUGCAUUGGCUCCUCUGGCUCCAAUGCAGGAGGUCCUGGGGCGGGAGAGAGGCGACGUGCAGAGCUGUAUCGUUGGAACGGGCUCGUCGGCGGAAAACUGGAGACUGAGGUCGACUGCCGAGCAGUGGUGGGGGGCCAGUAGUUCCUCUCCCGACGGCGCUCCCGGAUACGGUUGUCCAUGUUGAUGGAGAGUGUGAGAAGCUCCUCUAAUGACUCUGGCAUCUCCCGGACCGCAAGCUCGUCCUUCAACAGCUCCGAAAGACUGUUGC
Long non-coding RNA from Gasterosteus aculeatus aculeatus (three-spined stickleback), 1078 nucleotides. The record is from Ensembl. Lineage: Eukaryota; Metazoa; Chordata; Actinopteri; Perciformes; Gasterosteidae.